UACCCAGAAGUUCAGAAUGUGCCCUUAUAUGGGAAUAGGAUCUUUGAAGAUAUAAUUAGUUAGGAUGAGGUUUCUGCGCUAGAUAAUAGUGGUGACUGGGGUUUCAUGAGAAUACAAGAGGAUGCAAGAAAUACACACAGAGAAGUCCAUAUUGAGAUGAAGGUGGGCAGAGCCUAGAGUUACGCUGCCACAGGCCAAGGAAUGCCUGAGACCACCAAAAGUUUGAAGAAACAAAGAAAUUCUUCCCGAGAUCCUUCAAAGGGAGCAUGGCCCUGCUGACACCUUGAUUUCAGACUUCUGGCCUCCAGAACGGUUGAUAAGCAUGCCUGAAGGAAAUGAUAAAGUCAUGCUGAUUGGAUGGUCACUAGUGACUUCCUUACCAAGAAAACCAAAAGCCUUUGGCUUUUCUUGAAGAUGAAAGCAAAGACUUUGAAGGCAAGAAGGCAGUGAUGAAAGGCAUUCACAGCCACAAUAAAAGAGAAGGAAUAUCAUCCACCUUCCAAUGGCCUAAAACACUGUAACUCAGAAAGCACCCCAAAUAUCCUCAGAUGAGCUAGGAGAAACAAGCUUGGUCACUAUGCCAUCAUCAAGGUCACUUUGAUCACUGAGUCGGCCAUGAAGAUAGAGGACAACACAUUUGUGUUCAUUGUGGAUAUCAAGGUCAACAAGCACCAGAUUAAACAGCCCAUGAGGAAGCUCUAUGACACUGAUGUGGACAAGGUCAAUACUCUCAUCAGGCUGGAUGAAGAGAAGAAGGCAUGCGUUCCACUGUUUCCUGACUGAUAAAUUGAGAUCCCCUAAAUUGAGUUCAGCUGGCUAAUUUUAACUUGCAUUUUUUUUUCACCCAUAUUUUAAAAAUAAAGAAUAAAAAGUAAAACCAAGAGAAGAGAUUUUGUUCAUCUUCCUUGAACUUACAGAUACAUUUUAUAUUAUUACACCUUUUUAAAGAAUAUCUUUUCCCCUUUCUUCCAUAAAGUUUUGUAUUUCAAGUACCUCUUCCUCUAACUGCUUAUUUACAUCUUCACUGAACGUUUUCACCAGACAUAAAGAGGGUCAUAGUUCUGUUCUCGGUCUUUGAUUUGGUCUCUAUACUGUCCACUUUAGUAAUCUUACCCAUGUUCACAGUUUAAACACGUUGCUAAAAAAAAAAUGUGUAACUCUUACCUUGACAUUCUGUAGCUUUUUGACAUUUCCACCUGGAGUCCCAUCAGGUAUAACUUAAACUCAACCAGAAUAAAAGAAAACUCAUUCUCUGUACCUCUAUCCUCCCAAUAUUGGAGCUUUGAUUGUUUCAAUGUUCAUGUUUAUAUUGUUAUGUUCUUGCAAAUACUGUUCACUGCUGAGACAUAUAGUAUACUUCAGUCAUACUUUUGUAUAAUAAUAACUAUGAUAAAAAUUACCUUGUUUUUCUCUUUGCUUUGUUUACUAUGUACUCAUCAUGAUUUAUUCUUUUCCUCUCCCCAGACCUGUAAAAUUCCUAUGUAUUUAAAUACAUCAGGUGAUUGAUCAGUUUCAGGAAUUCCUCACCCCUCCUUAUGAAUAAUCCUUUCCGGGAAUUCCCUGGCAGUCCAGUAGUUAGGAACUUGCACUUCCACUGUUGGAGACAUGGGUUCAAUCUCUGGUUGGGGAAUUAAGAUCCCACAAGCUGAGCAACUUGGCCAAAAAAAUAAAUAAACAAAUAGCCCAUCCGAGGCUUCCAUUCUGUGACAGGCUGCUUUCUGGGCCUGUUGCUCAGCUGGCCACCUGGGACUUCUGGUAAUUUCCUUCUCCUCCCUCCUGUGUACCAUCUUCCUUUUCCUGCUUUCCACCUGUGCUUGUUUACUGAUUUCUAUCAUUUGUUUUGGUGGAAUACUUUCUCCAAUAACUUCCUGAACAGGGGUUCUUAGAGAUAAAUUUUCUGAGGCCUUGUAUAUCUGUUUUUAUUCUACCCUUAUAUACACUUGGCAGUCUGUGCAGAAUUCUAGACUGGAAAUUUACUUUGCUGACAAUUUUGAAGUCACUCAUUCAUUAUGUUCCAGCUUCCAGUAUUGCUGUGAGAAAUCUAGUGGCAUUCUGUUUCUCCCUCCUGCACAAUCUGUUUUAUUUCUCUGCAGUAUUUUAGGAUUCCACAUCAAUUAUUAGGUUGGUGCAAAAGUAAUUGUGGUUUUACAUUCUUGAGCUUUGCUG
Molecule: long non-coding RNA, 2166 nt
Organism: Dama dama (fallow deer)
Lineage: Eukaryota; Metazoa; Chordata; Mammalia; Artiodactyla; Cervidae
Exons: 3
Source: RefSeq, a predicted model, not a curated record